This is a non-coding RNA of Danionella cerebrum, 82 nucleotides long. Lineage: Eukaryota; Metazoa; Chordata; Actinopteri; Cypriniformes; Danionidae. The record is from the annotation of a GenBank genome assembly.
GUUGUCGUGGCUGAGUGGUUAAGGCGAUGGACUUUAAAUCUAUUGGGGUUUCCCCGUGCAUAUUCAAAUCCUGCUGACAACA